GACGAACGCUGGCGGCGUGCUUAACACAUGCAAGUCGAGCGGUAAGGCCCUUUCGGGGUACACGAGCGGCGAACGGGUGAGUAACACGUGGGUGACCUGCCCUCAGCUCUGGGAUAAGCCUGGGAAACUGGGUCUAAUACUGGAUAUGACUCCACGGUGCAUGUCGUGGGGUGGAAAGCCUUGUGCGGCUGAGGAUGGGCCCGCGGCCUAUCAGCUUGUUGGUGGGGUGAGGCCUACCAAGGCGACGACGGGUAGCCGGCCUGAGAGGGCGACCGGCCACACUGGGACUGAGACACGGCCCAGACUCCUACGGGAGGCAGCAGUGGGGAAUCUUGCGCAAUGGGCGAAAGCCUGACGCAGCGACGCCGCGUGAGGGAUGACGGCC
Molecule: ribosomal RNA, 385 nt
Filed under: uncultured bacterium
Lineage: Bacteria
Description: bacterial SSU rRNA
Rfam family: Bacterial small subunit ribosomal RNA
Source: RNAcentral